RNAcentral lists this transfer RNA (53 nucleotides) under Romanomermis nielseni. RNAcentral describes it as "tRNA-Trp". Lineage: Eukaryota; Metazoa; Nematoda; Enoplea; Mermithida; Mermithidae. The record is from RNAcentral.
GAUUAAUAAAGCUUAAAGCUCUUACUUUUCAAAAGUAAAAUUAAUAUUAAUAA